RNAcentral lists this non-coding RNA (45 nucleotides) under Schistosoma mattheei. Lineage: Eukaryota; Metazoa; Platyhelminthes; Trematoda; Strigeidida; Schistosomatidae. The record is from RNAcentral.
AUCCAGCUGAUGAGUCCUAAAUAGGACGAAACGUGCGUCCUAGAU